GUACCUGACUAAGAAGCCCCGGCUAACUACGUGCCAGCAGCCGCGGUAAUACGUAGGGGGCAAGCGUUAUCCGGAUUUAUUGGGUUUAAAGGGUGCGUAGGCGGCCUUUUAAGUCAGCGGUGAAAGUCUGUGGCUCAACCAUAGAAUUGCCGUUGAAACUGGGGGGCUUGAGUAUGUUUGAGGCAGGCGGAAUGCGUGGUGUAGCGGUGAAAUGCAUAGAUAUCACGCAGAACCCCGAUUGCGAAGGCAGCCUGCCAAGCCAUGACUGACGCUGAUGCACGAAAGCGUGGGGAUCAAACAGGAUUAGAUACCCUGGUAGUCCACGCAGUAAACGAUGAUCACUAGCUGUUUGCGAUACACUGUAAGCGGCACAGCGAAAGCGUUAAGUGAUCCACCUGGGGAGUACGCCGGCAACGGUGAAACUCAAAGGAAUUGACGGGGGCCCGCACAAGCGGAGGAACAUGUGGUUUAAUUCGAUGAUACGCGAGGAACCUUACCCGGGUUUGAACGCAUUCGGACCGAGGUGGAAACACCUUUUCUAGCAAUAGCCGUUUGCGAGGUGCUGCAUGGUUGUCGUCAGCUCGUGCCGUGAGGUGUCGGCUUAAGUGCCAUAACGAGCGCAACCCUUGCCACUAGUUACUAACAGGUAAAGCUGAGGACUCUGGUGGGACUGCCAGCGUAAGCUGCGAGGAAGGCGGGGAUGACGUCAAAUCAGCACGGCCCUUACAUCCGGGGCGACACACGUGUUACAAUGGCGUGGACAAAGGGAGGCCACCUGGUGACAGGGAGCGAAUCCCCAAACCACGUCUCAGUUCGGAUCGGAGUCUGCAACCCGACUCCGUGAAGCUGGAUUCGCUAGUAAUCGCGCAUCAGCCAUGGCGCGGUGAAUACGUUCCCGGGCCUUGCACACACCGCCCGUCAAG
RNAcentral lists this ribosomal RNA (923 nucleotides) under uncultured bacterium. RNAcentral's name for it is "bacterial SSU rRNA". It matches the Rfam family "Bacterial small subunit ribosomal RNA", at positions 475 to 1401 of the family's 1533-position model. The record is from RNAcentral.